GUGUGGUUGCCGGAGAGGACUCAGCCUGAGGAGGUCACUCGUCCACAGCCGCUCCUCCCAUUCUAUCUCUCCCCUUAUUGCAGAACUGCUGUAUGUACACAGUGGCAGAAAGGACUCAAUUGACUUCAACUGCUGCCUGGUUUUGCUUACAACUUUUUCUUAUAAAGGAACUUACCUCCAUCUGUCUUUUCAAGGUUGACAAGCCACUUCCUCUAAACUCCACAACUCAUUCUGAUGACUAUGGAGCCUACAUAGUUUCCAGUGAUAAAUGAUGAAUUUCAAACGUCUAAACUCGGGGCCAUUAAUUAAAAAGUGCUCAGAGCUGACACAUCCCAAAUAAACGAAGCUGCUCACCUCCAUUACCGGCUCUCGCUUAAUAAAAUUAAUCUGCCCCAGUAAGCAGAAGUCAGCAAGUCCGCAAUGGGAAUCACGCCGGUGACACAGGAAGACAAAUAGAAAUUCCUGACGAGCAUUCAAACUCCUUCUGAUGCGGGAGGAAAAAUAUGAGCACCGAGGAUCUCGCUAAGAAGAAGGGGAGUGGGGCCGCUGCCGAGGCAGGCACAGCGGAAAGGAGCUUCUUCUUCUCUGCUCCUGGCUGCUUCAUCCUCGGAGGACUAAAGAUUUGGAGGAAAUCAG
Molecule: long non-coding RNA, 636 nt
Organism: Alexandromys fortis (reed vole)
Lineage: Eukaryota; Metazoa; Chordata; Mammalia; Rodentia; Cricetidae
Exons: 3
Source: RefSeq, a predicted model, not a curated record